ACGACACCCUGUAUUUGGGAAAGAAUUUAAUUUCAGUAUGCACAUGCCGUGUUUACAGUGUAGAGAUGUGUUAUUUGUACAUUUAUCCCUGUAUUGAAUUUAGAACCGGAAACAGUAUGUCACAUCUAAUCUUAGAAAACCGCAACUGGUUUUGAGAAACGACACAUUAGCACUUUCUGUCCCCGAAUGGCAAAAUAACACCCACCACCACACAGCGACCACCUCCCCCCGACCCUCCCCCGGACAAUUUUUAUUGGUACAGGCUCGCCCCCAGAAGAUUAAAUCGGCGGACAUUCAUGUUAUUCCCGCGCCCACCUGUAUAAAGUAUGCCCAUAUUUGUUUUUGCAUAUAUUGUUUAUUUUUGUUUCAUUAGUUUUAUCCCCCUCAUCUUUUAUACUAAAACACUAUUUUUUCUUGUAGAAAGCCUCUUUGUUUACAAAAAUAUAUGAAAUACAUCAUUUGCGAUGUUUUGUUUAAAUUAAUGUGCCAUACAUAUACGUCUGUACUAUUCUUUAUUUUCGAAAAAUAUAUUUGUGUGAUUACAUAUGCAGUUUGAGUGCAGUAGAGAAACAGUCUACUAUCAGAAAAAAGGAUCUGAGACAUGCACGUCUCCAUUAUGAUAUUUGUCAACUACUCUAAUAAUUUAGGAGUAGGUAAGACAAUUCAUGUACAAUUACUAAACCACCAACUGCAGUCAUUGUGAGUAUUCAUGACACAUAGAAUGUCUUCCUCUAAUUUUGAAUGUUCACACGUCAAUAACAUUGAGAUGACAUCAUGAGUGAAUGUGUGUGAAGUGAUGAAAGAGGAUGUGUGCCUUCAAUAAUCAAUUCUGUCAACUUCCGUUUGUUGUAUACACUAACUCCAACAUUUGUCGCCCUUAAUCUCUCUGCUUUAUUUAUUAUUUGUACUCUCGCUUUUCUUAUCAUUCAUAAAUGUUGACUAUGCACAUUUAAGAAAUAUGUCAAUCGUAUAUCGUGUUUGCUGUACAAAACCAUGUUAUAUAUUCCUUAUAUUAACAUGUGAAUAGCUUGAUUAAGUAAAAGACUUUUGUUGUUGAACUGUUUCCAAUAAUCACUCAAAUUGAUAAUAUUGACAUUUUAACAUUAAUUCUAUUCAACUCAACAACCAUCUUGUCCUUUAGAAUGUACAGGUGUUGCUGCAAAGGUAAUAUGAUUUAGUAAACUUAUAGUAUACCCUUUAUAAGAAUAAUUUGUUGGUAUCAUUCCGACCGUUUACAUUAUUAUAAUAAUCUGACUCGUAUAUUUAAUAUUGUGUCUACAAUCAGACAUCAAAUCAUAUAUAAUAAUGUGAACAGUUACAUAUAAAGUAUAGACUUACAGUACGGUACAGUGGAACCCUUUAAUAUCAGGUGAUGAAAUACUCGUGUUAACGAGUGAUUGGUUGGGAGUUAUGUCGGGUCGACAUGGCCACUUGUCGGCUGGUCCGAGACUAGUGAUAGAUUGUAAGGGCUGUUGAUAUUAUACAAACAAUUAAUUUGAAAUGAAUUGUGGACUGCUUGGAUUUAGUUCGUUACAUCAGUUUGAUAGAUCUCCAUGUUUAGAAUGUACUCAUAAUGUGAUAUUGAUCACCUUUUGAUGCUGAUAUCUGCUUAUAGGACAAUGCAAUGCAUGCUUCUCCAGAUGACUGCAUGAUGAUUCGUACGGAGAAGCAGAAGGGUGAAUGGGUAGUCAUAUAACUAUUGUUAUGGGACACUUAACAUGCUUAACAUUUUCCCAGAGGUAUACAUAUAUGGACAAUGUAUAUGGAUUGAGUUCGGGACUGAAGGGGACAUGACAGUAAAUUGUUUGUUUAGACAUUAUGGGCCAUGUUCAGCAGUUAUUUCACAUGCACUGUAGAACGACGAGGUUUCAAAUGUUCAAUAUAUUAAUUCAGUUAUCUGUUGAUCAAAGUCCCCUUCUCUUGUAGUCAUUGCUAUAUGGUUAACAUUGUGUAGAUAUUUUAAUAUCUCCAAGACAUAUGAGCUUGAAGUUCGAAAUUUGUUAAAUGGCUUAACCUUUGGACACUGAUGUUCACUUGUGUGGACUUGACGAUGUGAAUGGUAUCUCGAGGAAUGUGAUUGUUUCCCCUUCCAUGCUCAUUGUUUGUAGUUUUGAUCAAAGCUUACACUAAUGAUGCAUUUCUAUGUUAUGUUUGUUUAAUUGUUUGCUUGUUUGUUGUUUAACGCCGCAUGCGACCAGACAAUCCAGUGAUUGCAGUCAGCGAGCCUAACCACCCGUCGCCUUUUACGACAAGCAUGGUCUGCUGAAGAUCCAUUCUAUUCCGGAUCUACACUUGGGAUUCUCCAAGACACAAGAGUUUGAAGAUCGAAAGUUGUGAAACGGCCUAAACCUCUGGACACUGAUGUACAUUUGCUGUGGACUUGACGCGGAAUGUGACCGUUUCCCCAUUCAUGUUGAUUGUUUGUAGUUUCACUCAAAGUGUAUAACAAUGAAGCAUGUCUUUGUGUA
Molecule: long non-coding RNA, 2468 nt
Filed under: Haliotis rufescens (red abalone)
Lineage: Eukaryota; Metazoa; Mollusca; Gastropoda; Lepetellida; Haliotidae
Description: uncharacterized LOC124120989
Source: RNAcentral